RNAcentral lists this long non-coding RNA (1659 nucleotides) under Homo sapiens (human). RNAcentral's name for it is "HSALNT0172982". Lineage: Eukaryota; Metazoa; Chordata; Mammalia; Primates; Hominidae. The record is from RNAcentral.
CUCCAAGCAAUGGGCAACAAAAAGACUUUCCGAUCAUAUUACAAUCUUUCUGAGCCACCAGGGUUUACGGAAACGGCCCUGCAGAUUUUUUCAUGCUGAGCCCCAGAUUUCUUCAGAAGAUGAAAUAGAUCAUCUGCCUUAAGGUUCUGGACCAGUGUAUGCAACACAAUAAACGUUCAGGAAAUGGUUGCUAUGAUGAUGACGACGAUGAUUAUGACAACAAUGAUGAUGAUGAAAUGAGUUGGCUUCAGCCCAGAGCAGAAUAUGUUCCCUAAUAAAGUAUGAGGAUGUCAGCACAUGCCAUUUGUGUCCCACCCAAAGCUGCAAACUUACUUAAAGUUUAUCUGUAGCUUCAGGGGACAAUUUCCAUAAUGACUGAUGGCAUUUUACCCUGGGUUUGUGAAAUAUUACCAUACUUAUAACAGUCAGAGGUAUUGAAAAGGUAUGCCUGGAAAACAUUGUUCCUCAUCAUUCCUUCUACCAAAUAUUUAUUCUAUUCUCAUCAUUUCCUGUAGGUGUGGAUCUUCAGGAGGUUGCCUCUCCCUGGCUGCAGAAUUAUCAUUUUUAGAGAAGCAGUGUGAUAAUCGUGGAACCAUCCCCUACAUUCCUUCACCCAGGAAGGAAGCAAUAUGAGCUGUGUGCACUGUACACUAUAGCAAUGGAGAAUCUGAUUUGACAAGCCAAAGAUCCUACAUUGGUUGCACACAUCAUGGAUAGCCUACGAACUUCCCUUUAAAGAAAGCUACGUAGAAGCAGGAUGAGUAAAAAUUUACAAACUGAAACAGGAACAUUUUCAAGGUGGAGCACAGUGGCGUGAUCUCAGCACACUGGAACCUCCGCCUCCCAGGUUCAAGCAAUUCUCCUGCGUCAUCCUCUCGAGUAGCUGGGACUACAGAUGUGCACCACCACACCUGGCUAAUUUUUUUGUAUUUCUAGUAGAGACAGGGUUUCACCAUGUUGGCCAGGCUGGUCUCAAACUCCUGACCUCGUGAUCCACCUGCCUCUGUCUCCUAAAGUGCUGGGAUUACAGGCAUGAGCCACCAUGCCUCGCCAAUUGAGAGCUAAUGGUUUUAAAGUGUGGCACUUCCCCAUGCACUCUCUCUCUCCUGCUGCCUUAUGAAAAACGUGUUUGUUUCCCCUUUACCUUCUACCAUGAUUGUUAAGUUUCCUGAGGCCUCCCCAGCCAUGUGAACCGAGUCAAUUAAACCUCUUUCCUUUACAAACUACCCAGUCUCAGGUAGUAUCUUUAUAGCAGUGUGAAAACAAACUAAUACACCAAAUAAGACUGAAGAAACUUAUGCUCAUCUCCAAACACUAUCUGCCAUGCUAUAAGCCAUUAGAACUCAUCUGUUUUACAAUCAGGUUUAAAGAAAGUAAGCUCAUGUCAAGGGCAGGGAUGAUUUCCAACAGAAUUGUGUUGCCCUCUCAUUAAUUCAAUGGCUAUAUUAAUUUUGAAAAUAAUGUAAUUAGCAAAUAGUGGCAGAAACAAUACACAUUUUCCCUCUCCUUUAUUUAAAAUGCAUGAUCAUGAUCUGUCAUUUAAUGAAUUCUAAAGAUAACAAAAUAUUAAAUUAUCUUCACCCUGCAAUAGAGGAUCAUGAAGCACAAAAAUGUAGAAAAGUAUGUUUUCCUGAGCUGAUGAUCUCCCAGUAGCAUGAG